Molecule: small nucleolar RNA, 71 nt
Organism: Sarcophilus harrisii (Tasmanian devil)
Lineage: Eukaryota; Metazoa; Chordata; Mammalia; Dasyuromorphia; Dasyuridae
Source: Ensembl
UGGGAAAUGAUGCAUACUUCUUAGCCUGAAAGUUUCAUGAAGGUUUCUUGUAUUCAUACUGUCUGAUCCCA